This 599-nucleotide long non-coding RNA is filed under the name Cairina moschata (Muscovy duck). RNAcentral's name for it is "domestica (muscovy Duck (domestic type)) lncRNA (ENSCMMG00000001536.1)". The record is from RNAcentral. Lineage: Eukaryota; Metazoa; Chordata; Aves; Anseriformes; Anatidae.
AUAGUGUUGCCAUCAGGGCCAGGGAGGUGAUUAUUCCCCUCUACUCUGCUCUGGUGAGGCUGCACCUUGAGGACUGUGUUCAGCUAUGGAUCCCUCAGUACAAGAAGGAUGUGGAGGCCCUGCAGUGUAUCCAGAGAAGGGCUAGCAAGCUGGUAAAGGGCCUGGAACACAAGUGCUAUGAGGAGCUGGGAUUGUUCAGUCUGGAGAAGAGGAGACUCAUUAUUGCUCUCUGCAACUACCUGAAAGGAAGGUGUGGGAAGAUGACGGUUGGCCUCUUCUUACAGUGGAUUCAUUUCAUUCCUCUGUGGAGGACCAGCAUAAGGCAUAUGCAUCACUUCAAUCCUCUGAAUAGGGUUCAAACUCCUUUCCCAGAUGCAUCAAUGUCAGGUCUGUUCAACAGGAGGUGUAUACAAGAGACAUGAGAAGUUAUAAAUUUGCCAUGCCAUCUCUGCAACUUGCUUUGGGAUAAGACAGUAGGUUCCCUAUGCUCUCCAAGCUUAACAGUCUUCCUAGCUGCUGCCAAGAAAAUGGAACUGCAACCUCAGCCAAAGGAGACAGGUCCUAAGGCAGCAAGCCUCUGGGACAAAGCUCUGUUAAUA